GAUGAACGCUGGCGGCGUGCCUAAUACAUGCAAGUCGAGCGAACGGACGAGAAGCUUGCUUCUCUGAUGUUAGCGGCGGACGGGUGAGUAACACGUGGAUAACCUACCUAUAAGACUGGGAUAACUUCGGGAAACCGGAGCUAAUACCGGAUGAUAUUUUGAACCGCAUGGUUCAAAAGUGAAAGACGGUCUUGCUGUCACUUAUAGAUGGAUCCGCGCUGCAUUAGCUAGUUGGUAAGGUAACGGGUUACCAAGGCAACGAUGCAUAGCCGAACUGAGAGGGUGAUCGGCCACACUGGAACUGAGACACGGUCCAGACUCCUACGGGAGGCAGCAGUAGGGAAUGUGACGCAAUGGGCGAAAGCCUGACGGAGCAACGCCGCGUGAGUGAUGAAGGUCUUCGGAUCGUAAAACUCUGUUAUUAGGGAAGAACAUAUGUGUAAGUAACUGUGCACAGCUUGACGGUACCUAAUCAGAAAGCAACGGCUAACUACGUG
This 497-nucleotide ribosomal RNA is filed under the name uncultured bacterium. RNAcentral describes it as "partial 16S ribosomal RNA". It matches the Rfam family "Bacterial small subunit ribosomal RNA", at positions 28 to 507 of the family's 1533-position model. The record is from RNAcentral.